Molecule: ribosomal RNA, 251 nt
Filed under: uncultured bacterium
Lineage: Bacteria
Description: partial 16S ribosomal RNA
Rfam family: Bacterial small subunit ribosomal RNA
Source: RNAcentral
UACGUAGGGUGCAAGCGUUGUCCGGAAUUAUUGGGCGUAAAGAGCUCGUAGGCGGUUUGUCGCGUCUGCUGUGAAAACUCGGGGCUUAACCCCGGGCCUGCAGUGGGUACGGGCAGACUAGAGUGCGGUAGGAGACUGGAAUUCCUGGUGUAGCGGUGAAAUGCGCAGAUAUCAGGAGGAACACCGGUGGCGAAGGCGGGUCUCUGGGCCGUAACUGACGCUGAGGAGCGAAAGCGUGGGGAGCGAACAGG